RNAcentral lists this transfer RNA (70 nucleotides) under Porcellionides pruinosus. Its description in RNAcentral is "tRNA-Leu". Lineage: Eukaryota; Metazoa; Arthropoda; Malacostraca; Isopoda; Porcellionidae. The record is from RNAcentral.
CUAAUAGAGCGGCAGAAGAGUGCAAAGGAGUUAGAAUCCUUAUAUGGGUGGAGAUGUCUUGGUGAAACAG